UGGGGAAUAUUGGGCAAUGGGCGAAAGCCUGACCCAGCGACGCCGCGUGGGCGAUGAAGGCCUUCGGGUUGUAAAGCCCUGUCAUGCGGAAAGAACGACCCUGCGACGCAUAAUCGCAGGGAGUGACGGUACCGCAGGAGGAAGCACCGGCUAACUCCGUGCCAGCAGCCGCGGUAAUACGGAGGGUGCAAGCGUUGUUCGGAAUUAUUGGGCGUAAAGGGCGCGUAGGCGGUAAUGCUAGUCAGAUGUGAAAUACUCCGGCUCAACCGGGGAACUGCAUCUGAAACUGCAUAACUAGAGUACAGAAGAGGGAAACGGAAUUCCCGGUGUAGAGGUGAAAUUCGUAGAUAUCGGGAGGAACACCAGUGGCGAAGGCGGUUUCCUGGUCUGAUACUGACGCUGAGGCGCGAAAGUGUGGGGAGCAAACAGGA
RNAcentral lists this ribosomal RNA (431 nucleotides) under uncultured bacterium. Its description in RNAcentral is "bacterial SSU rRNA". It matches the Rfam family "Bacterial small subunit ribosomal RNA", at positions 355 to 777 of the family's 1533-position model. The record is from RNAcentral.